RNAcentral lists this transfer RNA (85 nucleotides) under bacterium. RNAcentral describes it as "tRNA-Leu". It matches the Rfam family "tRNA". From Rfam's summary of the family: Transfer RNA (tRNA) molecules are approximately 80 nucleotides in length. Their secondary structure includes four short double-helical elements and three loops (D, anti-codon, and T loops). The record is from RNAcentral.
GCGGAUGUGGUGGAAUUGGUAGACACGCUAGUCUUAGGAACUAGUGCCGAAAGGCGUGGAGGUUCAAGUCCUCUCAUCCGCACCA